Molecule: ribosomal RNA, 1898 nt
Filed under: Bifidobacterium adolescentis
Lineage: Bacteria; Bacillati; Actinomycetota; Actinomycetes; Bifidobacteriales; Bifidobacteriaceae
Description: partial 23S ribosomal RNA
Rfam family: Bacterial large subunit ribosomal RNA
Source: RNAcentral
UGUGCCGCUUGCGAGGGCGUAUGGUGGAUGCCUUGGCAGACAGUACCGAUGAAGGACGUUUGAGGAUGCGAUAAUCCUAGGGGAGCCUCCAACAUGGCUUUGAUCCUAGGGUCUCCGAAUGGGGGAACCCGCCGGCCGUCAUGGGCCGGCACCGCCUAUGGGCGGGGGGUACGCAGGGAAGUGAAACAUCUCAGUACCUGCAGGAAGGGAUACUCCGUGAGUAGUGGCGAGCGAAAGCGGAUCAGACCAAACCGGUUGCGCGUGAUACCCGUCGGGGGUUGCGUUGCCGGUGUUGUGGGAUCACGUGUCCCGGUUCCGACGGGCCGGGCGGGAGUCAUAAAACGGCUUGCCAGGGGAACAGGCUUGAAGGCCUGGCCGUAGAGGGUGCCAGCCCCGUACCUGGACGUGAGCCGUCUUCCGAUCGUGUUGUCCCAAGUAGCGCGGGCCUCGUGGAAUCCCGCGUGAAUCAGCCCAGACCGUUGGGUAAGUCUAAGCAUACCUGUCUGACCGAUAGCGUACCAGUACCGUGAGGGAAAGGUGAAAAGCACCCCGGGAGGGGAGUGAAACAGUUCCUGAAACCGUGCGCCCACAAACCGUCGGAGCCUCCUUGUGGGGUGACGGCGUGCCUAUCGAAAAAUGAGUCUGCGAGUCAGUGGCGGGUGGCGAGCAUAAGCCGUGUGGCGUAUGCGUAGCGAAAGCGAGUCUUAAAAGGCGUUUUUAGUCGCUUGUCCUGGACCCGAAGCGGGAUGAUCUAGCCCUGGGCAGGUUGAAGCGCGGGUAAGACCGCGUGGAGGACCGAACCCACCUGGGUUGAAAACCGGGGGGAUGACCUGGGGCUAGGGGUGAAAGGCCAAUCAAAUUCCGUGAUAGCUGGUUCUCUCCGAAAUGCAUUUAGGUGCAGCGUCGGUCGAUUGCGUCGCGGGGGUAGAGCUACCGGAUGCUUGCGGGCCCUUGUUGGGUACCAACAGCAGCCGAACUCCGAAUACCGUUGACGUGUAUUCCGGCAGUGAGUCGGCGGGGGAUAAGCUCCGUCGUCGAGAGGGAGACAGCCCAGACCGUCGUCUAAGGUCCCGAAGCGUGUGCUAAGUGGGAAAGGAUGUGGAGUCGCAUAGACAGCCAGGAGGUUGGCUCAGAAGCAGCCAUCCUUGAAAGAGUGCGUAACAGCUCACUGGUCUAGUGGUUCCGCGCCGACAAUGUAGCGGGGCUCAAGCACACCACCGAAGACGCGGCAGCAAUCUUCAUGGUUGCUGGGUAGGAGAGCGUCCUGCGAGGGGCGAAGCGGCCGGGUAACCGUGCCGUGGACUUCGUGGGAGUGAGAAUGCAGACAUGAGUAGCGAGAGACGGGUGAGGAUCCCGUCCGCUGGAUGACCAAGGGUUCCGGGGCCACGUUCGUCGUCCCCGGGUGAGUCGGGUCCUAAGGCGAGGCCGACAGGCGUAGUCGAAUGGAUGAACGGGUGGAUAUUCCCGUACCGACCAUGGACCGGCAAAACCGAGACGGUGAGUACUAACCUCCGCCUCGUGGUGGUUCCUUCCUUCGGGUUGGUAUCGCCGCGUGGUGUUGGGACUGUAGCCGCAGUAGGUCAGCGCAGGGGUGACACGGAAUGGGAGCCGGCCGCGGAGGUGGUUUUCCGUGGUCAAGCACGCAGCCAGUCAUGUAGGCAAAUCCGCAUGGCGCGCAUGGCGAGGUGUGAUGAUGGGAGCCGUUAUGGCUCGAUAUCCGGUUGUCCAGGCCGUCGAGAAAAGCCUCGGCGUGAGGGCCAUGGCCGCCCGUACCCCAAACCGACACUGGUGGUCAGGUAGAGAAUACCAAGGCGAUCGAGCGAAUCCUGGUCAAGGAACUCGGCAAAUCACUCCCGUGCCUUCGGUAUAAGGGAGACCCGCUGGGGUGAACCGGCUAG